RNAcentral lists this long non-coding RNA (207 nucleotides) under Lathyrus oleraceus (garden pea). RNAcentral's name for it is "Pisum sativum (pea) long non-coding RNA (PSAT_LNC041884)". The record is from RNAcentral. Lineage: Eukaryota; Viridiplantae; Streptophyta; Magnoliopsida; Fabales; Fabaceae.
UUUAAUCCGUAAAUUUUUCUUUUUGGGAAUAAUCCCUGAAUGUUAUACCAUUUUGAUUUUAGUCCUUAAAAUCAAAAUCCGCAGGAAAAUCUGCAAGUUUUCUACGAAUUUUCCUCCAGAUUUAAAAUCGGUAAGUUUCUUGCGAAUUUGCCUUCGAAUUCUUUUGAGGAUUUUAUGGGACUAUUUCCAAACAAAAAUACGCUAACU